GAUGAACGCUAGCUACAGGCUUAACACAUGCAAGUCGAGGGGCAGCAUUAAAGUUUGCUUGCAAACUUUAGAUGGCGACCGGCGCACGGGUGAGUAACACGUAUCCAACCUGCCGAUAACUCGGGGAUAGCCUUUCGAAAGAAAGAUUAAUACCCGAUGGUAUAUUUUCACCGCAUGGUGAAACUAUUAAAGAAUUUCGGUUAUCGAUGGGGAUGCGUUCCAUUAGGCAGUUGGUGAGGUAACGGCUCACCAAACCUUCGAUGGAUAGGGGUUCUGAGAGGAAGGUCCCCCACAUUGGAACUGAGACACGGUCCAAACUCCUACGGGAGGCAGCAGUGAGGAAUAUUGGUCAAUGGGCGCGAGCCUGAACCAGCCAAGUAGCGUGAAGGAUGACGGCCCUAUGGGUUGUAAACUUCUUUUAUAUGGGAAUAAAGUUUGGUAUGCAUACCAUUUUGUAUGUACCAUAUGAAUAAGGAUCGGCUAACUCCGUGCCAGCAGCCGCGGUAAUACGGAGGAUCCGAGCGUUAUCCGGAUUUAUUGGGUUUAAAGGGAGCGUAGGUGGAUUGUUAAGUCAGUUGUGAAAGUUUGCGGCUCAACCGUAAAAUUGCAGUUGAAACUGGCAGUCUUGAGUACAGUAGAGGUGGGCGGAAUUCGUGGUGUAGCGGUGAAAUGCUUAGAUAUCACGAAGAACUCCGAUUGCGAAGGCAGCUCACUGGACUGUUGACUGACACUGAGGCUCGAAAGUGUGGGUAUCAAACAGG
Molecule: ribosomal RNA, 761 nt
Filed under: uncultured bacterium
Lineage: Bacteria
Description: bacterial SSU rRNA
Rfam family: Bacterial small subunit ribosomal RNA
Source: RNAcentral